UCGAUUUUCUGGAAAAGUUGUUAAUGAUAUAAUACAAGCUGCAAGACAGGUUCCUGAUGCUACUAGUGCUCAAAACCAUUUGAAUUCACUUAGUCCAAACAACAACGAAAAUAAUGAAAAUGGUGAAGAUUAAAAGCUAAUUUGUUGUUGAAGAUGGAAUAUUGGCAAUUUAGUGGACUAAAUUUCUUAAUUUUUU
This is a long non-coding RNA of Cicer arietinum (chickpea), 196 nucleotides long. RefSeq lists it as uncharacterized. The record is from RefSeq and is a predicted model, not a curated record. NCBI's taxonomy places the organism in Eukaryota, Viridiplantae, Streptophyta, Magnoliopsida, Fabales, Fabaceae.